CUUGAAUCCCUAUAAGAGGUCCAGCCUGCCCAGUGACUUUGUUCAACGGCCGCGGUAUCCUAACCGUGCGAAGGUAGCGUAAUCACUUGUCUUUUAAAUGAGGACUUGUAUGAAUGGCAUCACGAGGGUUAUACUGUCUCCUUUCUCUAAUCAGUGAAACUAAUCUUCCCGUGAAGAAGCGGGAAUAAAUAUAUAAGACGAGAAGACCCUAUGGAGCUUUAAACUCAAUAACAAAUACUAACCUCACUUUAACUUCCAGAACAUUAACACUAAUCCUAGUAUCAUGAUUAUUAGUUUUAGGUUGGGGUGACCGCGGAGUAAAAAUUAACCUCCACAUUGAACAGGACCUUUCCUUGAGCUAAGAACUACAACUCUAAGCACCAACAAAUUGACAUUAAUUGACCCAAUACUUUGAUCAACGAAC
Molecule: ribosomal RNA, 424 nt
Filed under: Hyla helenae
Lineage: Eukaryota; Metazoa; Chordata; Amphibia; Anura; Hylidae
Also listed under: 1 other name
Description: partial large subunit ribosomal RNA
Rfam family: Bacterial large subunit ribosomal RNA
Source: RNAcentral